Molecule: long non-coding RNA, 959 nt
Organism: Lathyrus oleraceus (garden pea)
Lineage: Eukaryota; Viridiplantae; Streptophyta; Magnoliopsida; Fabales; Fabaceae
Exons: 4
Source: RefSeq, a predicted model, not a curated record
UCAAAUAGCAUCGCCGGAGGCAACGCUUCGCCGUGCCGUAGGUAGACGAGCGAUCCUAAUCACACAAACAAACCUAAAAAAGCAACCGUCCCCUCGCCCUGGUUCUGAAUCCUCUCCUAAUUUUCAUCAAUUUCCACUCCUUAAUCUAGAUCGAACAAAACUAGAUUACGAACCCUAGGAGCAUAAAUCCAAAUUAAAUGAAGAUUUCCAGGAAUCAGAGCCUGAUAGGAGAGUGUUUUGAUUCCUGAGGUGAGCCUCUACAUAUCUGUAAGUGAAAUGAUGCGUAAUGAGGAAGAAUCAAAUGCCUACCUCGUCGGAGAAGAUGUUGAAGAUGGAAGCGAUGAUGGUCUUGAUUAAGUGCAGGUUGCUUUACUGAUGGUGGUGAGCGAGAGGCUUCAACAUGAAACAAGCCAUUUCUAUGACUGGUUCAAGGCUCAAAACCUAUGUGCAGGCUCAGGUGAUGACCUGAGGACGAGAAUUGGCGUAGCAGGGUAUGCUGCAGGGUGUUUCAGGAUUGGGAUUAAUGCUUCAAUGACACAGGGCAUCAAAAGUUUGGUACAAGGUCAUGGCAUUUUGAGUGGAGUGGUUUUCUAUUUUCCUCUGUUUGGAGCAUGAUGCAUGACCUUGAAUUGGUUUGUUGUUGCAGAGCUAGACUUGAAUGGAGCAUGAAUUUAAGGACUGCCACAUGUUAUGGACAUUUGAACCAAUGCUUUAAACAAACUCACCAUGACAAAAAUGCAAAAACAAGCUUUACUUGGAAAGAGGGUUAACUUGUAAGGAAAAUGAUGAAGCAAGAAGAAUGAAGGAUGACAUCAUGAAGUUUAGGAAUCUUAGAACAAAUGUGUUGACUUUGGUCAAAGUUGACCAAAAAGUCAACUAUUGACCAAAGUCAACCUUUGGUCAAAGUUAUUAUUAUUUUUUUAUAUUAUUUUUUUAAUGAUGUAAAUAUGACUAUGUAU